This is a long non-coding RNA of Callorhinus ursinus (northern fur seal), 585 nucleotides long. RefSeq lists it as uncharacterized. NCBI's taxonomy places the organism in Eukaryota, Metazoa, Chordata, Mammalia, Carnivora, Otariidae. The record is from RefSeq and is a predicted model, not a curated record.
AAAAAUAAAUAAAUAAAAAUACUUAAAAAAAAGACAACUCCUAACAUUCCUUCAACAUUGUACUCCUGUUUGCCAGCAAAUGUCAUAAGAACAUUCACACUGUCACAGCUGGGUGAUCGGAAGAUGAUGGAGCAUUAUUCUCCUCAGUCACGGGAUGGCCAAGCCUGUGGCACUCAGCUCUCCUGUUUCCGACACUAGCACAAGGACUAACUGUGAAGUAUGGGAUGUCUGCCGAUGGGAUGUGUUCACACUGACCUCCACCCCCAACGCUUUCUUUGAUCAUCUUCCUCAUCUUUUUCUUACUGUGUCAGAAAACAAUAGGCAAUUUAAUCUGGAGCACUGUUAGCCAUUCUCUCGCUUUCUGCACCCGGGACUGACUGUGCCUCCCGGGCGGCAGCUGCUUCGGGGUCCAGUCCCCAAACCUCUCACCCCCAGAGAAAAAGCCCGCUCGCUGACCCCGACCUAGAGACAACCUCAGCUUUCAAGAGAAUGACCAAACGCGAGUGCCCUUGGUACAGCACUUACUACCACUUUCGAUCCCUCCCCAACCAGCUGGGAUAUAAGAUGCCAUCUGAUUGGAAUAUG